ACAUGGCGUAGUAUUUUGUCAAAUGAGCAGGCUCCCCUCAGCAUUACACGUGAAGCCGUUAUGCGCCCCUGCCCGAGCCGGUGAGAAAUGUGUGGCUCGUUCCUUCCCAUUAAGAUUGGUUUUAUAGGCCCUCUUUUCUGUACCCGCUCAGGCCUCUCCUCUAGCUGCGCCCCAGUUUUCUCCUUUUACAUUUGAAAGAACUUGAACAGAAAGGUGGCUUGCAACAGACCAGGCCUUUUAUCAUAUGGAGGGCAGAAGAUCAUCCCACCAUGCUUUCCCAGAAUUGUAGUUUUCAGGGGCCUGAAGACAUGGACAUUAAUUCUGCAACUAUUCAGAAAUAAUCUUCUGUGGGAAUCUGAUUCUAGGACAUGAAGGGUCUAAGCAAGGAAAUUCUCAGCUACUGCCUUGUUCUGGGGCUAUCACAACUUCCACCGACACCACCAGAUGCUGCAUUUUGUUGUAGAACUAGGAAAGGUCUUUCCAACUUCUUCACAUAAGCUAGGCUACACACUGAAAUCUUCACAACUGCUUGUUUAUUAUUAAAAAAACACACACAGUUCUGGGCUGCCCAUAAGCCUUUGCUUCUCUGAAAGAAUCUGUCAGAUUUGUGCCUACUAUGUACCAUGGUUAAGGAAAAUCUAACUAUCUUUGAGCUACUCCUUCAUACUGAUGGAUCCAGACAAAAGAAAGGCAAAACAGUAAUGUGGGGUCUGUGCAAAUGGAUCUUUGGGGAAUGAAGGCUGGGAUAGCUCUCAGGCCUGAAGGAGACUGUGUCAUUGUGAAAGAUGCUGAGUUGUGGCUCACUGACAAGGUCCCCAAUUCUGAAAUUCUUCCGAGGUGAUUCAAAGGAAGAGGAUAAUUACCAGACUUAAUCACCAGGACCAAAGCCUACACCUGUAGUCACACAAAGGGUAAACUUGGAAACUGCAGCACUGAGAUGUCAAGCUUCAGAUUGUACUUUCCAGGAAAUAGCAGCAACUGUGUCUGUGGCUGUCUCCUUGGCAGAUUUCUUGUACACCCUAUUAUCUAGUUCCAUUUCUGGUUUUGCUUGUCGCUAAAGAGCUGUUUGUAGGGGCUGGUUCAUGAUCAGCCUGCUGUCGGGCUGUUCUGGAUGCAAUUAUUCUUUGAUUUACCACUGAACAUGUGGACUUCGCUCUUUUUUCCUACAUUUUAAAAUUAGGCCUUUCCGAAGUCUUAGUCACAUCUUUUUCAGACGAAAUAAAAGAUGUUUUGUUAAGUUUGAUUUAUAACAAAAUAUUCAUAAGGAAGCCAUCACACAUUAUAGAGGAUAUCCCUUGCAAAAUGAGGUUUUGUUAACCAUAGAUUACACUCAAAGCCUCCCCUGAAAAAAAACAAAAGGGACUCUGUCUGGGUAAACUGUUUAUUAAAAAAUAAAGGCCUGUUACUGCACCUACUGAAGUCAAUGGAAAAGCUUCCAUUUUCUCCAGUGAAACAGGAUCAGACCCUAAAUGUCUAUAAACAUUAGCUUUUGAGAUGACAACUCAAUUUCUCUUGAGAGAUUAUUGGUACUGUAAAUGAAAAACUUCAAAGCUAUCAAAAAUCGGCUCAGAUACAUAAUACACACAAAACAUCAUUUUGAAUUGUUCCAGAAUUUUUUAUAUUGAACGUGUAAUAGAGCAACUAUGAUACCUUAUGACACUUAAAAUAUGUUAAUAUUAACUAUCUCUGCUUAGAAAUUAUUAAAAUGAUUAUU
Trachemys scripta elegans is the source of this 1714-nucleotide long non-coding RNA. RefSeq lists it as uncharacterized. The transcript is spliced from 6 exons. The record is from RefSeq and is a predicted model, not a curated record. Lineage: Eukaryota; Metazoa; Chordata; Testudines; Emydidae.